UGAAGUAGUUGAUGCCAAGCUUCCAGGAAAAGCCUCUAAGCAUCAGGUAACAUUAAAUCGUACCCCAAACCGACACAGGUGGUCAGGUAGAGAAUACUCAGGCGCUUGAGAGAACUCGGGUGAAGGAACUAGGCAAAAUGGUGCCGUAACUUCGGGAGAAGGCACGCUGGCAUUAGGUAAAGGGACUUGCUCCCGGCGCCGAAGCCAGUCGCAGAUACCAGCUGGCUGCAACUGUUUAAUAAAAACACAGCACUGUGCAAACACGAAAGUGGACGUAUACGGUGUGACGCCUGCCCGGUGCUGGAAGGUUAAUUGAUGGGGUCAGCCGCAAGGCGAAGCUCUUGAUCGAAGCCCCAGUAAACGGCGGCCGUAACUAUAACGGUCCUAAGGUAGCGAAAUUCCUUGUCGGGUAAGUUCCGACCUGCACGAAUGGCGUAAUGAUGGCCAGGCUGUCUCCACCCGAGACUCAGUGAAAUUGAACUCGCUGUGAAGAUGCAGUGUACCCGCGGCAAGACGGAAAGACCCCGUGAACCUUUACUAUAGCUUGACACUGAACAUUGAGCCUUGAUGUGUAGGAUAGGUGGGAGGCAUUGAAGUGUGGACGCCAGUCUGCAUGGAGCCAACCUUGAAAUACCACCCUUUAAUGUUUGAUGUUCUAACUCGGCCCCAUAAUCUGGGGUGAGGACAGUGUCUGGUGGGUAGUUUGACUGGGGCGGUCUCCUCCCAAAGAGUAACGGAGGAGCACGAAGGUUAGCUAAUCACGGUCGGACAUCGUGAGGUUAGUGCAAAGGCAUAAGCUAGCUUGACUGCGAGAGUGACGGCUCGAGCAGGUACGAAAGUAGGUCUUAGUGAUCCGGUGGUUCUGAAUGGAAGGGCCAUCGCUCAACGGAUAAAAGGUACUCCGGGGAUAACAGGCUGAUACCGCCCAAGAGUUCAUAUCGACGGCGGUGUUUGGCACCUCGAUGUCGGCUCAUCACAUCCUGGGGCUGAAGUAGGUCCCAAGGGUAUGGCUGUUCGCCAUUUAAAGUGGUACGCGAGCUGGGUUUAGAACGUCGUGAGACAGUUCGGUCCCUAUCUGCCGUGGGCGUUGGAAGAUUGAGAGGGGCUGCUCCUAGUACGAGAGGACCGGAGUGGACGAAUCACUGGUGUUCGGGUUGUCAUGCCAAUGGCAUUGCCCGGUAGCUAAAUUCGGAAGAGAUAACCGCUGAAAGCAUCUAAGCGGGAAACUUGCCUCGAGAUGAGUCUUCCCUGGGGCUUUAAGCCCCCUGAAGGAACGUUAAAGACUAUGACGUUGAUAGGCUGGGUGUGUAAGUGCAGCGAUGCAUUGAGCUAACCAGUACUAAUGAUCCGUGAGGCUUAACC
Molecule: ribosomal RNA, 1362 nt
Filed under: Yersinia enterocolitica
Lineage: Bacteria; Pseudomonadati; Pseudomonadota; Gammaproteobacteria; Enterobacterales; Yersiniaceae
Description: bacterial LSU rRNA
Rfam family: Bacterial large subunit ribosomal RNA
Source: RNAcentral